This 327-nucleotide ribosomal RNA is filed under the name Triticum aestivum (bread wheat). RNAcentral's name for it is "partial small subunit ribosomal RNA". Lineage: Eukaryota; Viridiplantae; Streptophyta; Magnoliopsida; Poales; Poaceae. The record is from RNAcentral.
AUGAAGAAGGGGGGGCUGCUGCGGUGCGUGUCGACGGGGGCGUGCAGGGUGGCGCCGGGGGCCGUGGCGGAGAUGGCCAUCUCGCCGUCGGCGUCGGGGAAGGUGGGCGCGGAAGGGGAGGAGACGGAGCGCUUCCUCGUGCCGGCCGAGCUGCUGGGCCGUCCGCCCAUCGCCGAGCUGCUCCGCCGGGCCGCGCAGGAGUACGGCUACGCACGACGCGGCCCGCUCCGCAUCCCCUGCCCCGUCGCCGCCUUCCGCCGCCUCCUCGGCGCGCUCGCCGGCGGGGACAGGGGCCACACGCCCGUCUACUACGCCGUCGUCGUCUGA